GACGAACGCUGGCGGCGCGCCUAACACAUGCAAGUCGAACGAGCGAGAGAGAGCUUGCUCUCUCGAGCGAGUGGCGAACGGGUGAGUAACGCGUGAGGAACCUGCCUCAAAGAGGGGGACAACAGUUGGAAACGACUGCUAAUACCGCAUAAGCCCACGACCCGGCAUCGGGUAGAGGGAAAAGGAGCAAUCCGCUUUGAGAUGGCCUCGCGUCCGAUUAGCUAGUUGGUGAGGUAACGGCCCACCAAGGCGACGAUCGGUAGCCGGACUGAGAGGUUGAACGGCCACAUUGGGACUGAGACACGGCCCAGACUCCUACGGGAAGCAGCAGUGGGGAAUAUUGCACAAUGGGGGAAACCCUGAUGCAGCGACGCCGCGUGGAGGAAGAAGGUCUUCGGAUUGUAAACUCCUGUUGUUGAGGAAGAUAAUGACGGUACUCAACAAGGAAGUGACGGCUAACUACGUG
RNAcentral lists this ribosomal RNA (466 nucleotides) under uncultured bacterium. RNAcentral's name for it is "partial 16S ribosomal RNA". It matches the Rfam family "Bacterial small subunit ribosomal RNA", at positions 28 to 507 of the family's 1533-position model. The record is from RNAcentral.